This is an RNA transcript of Loxodonta africana (African savanna elephant), 5728 nucleotides long. It is a transcript of the gene named 3'-phosphoadenosine 5'-phosphosulfate synthase 2, with no coding region annotated. Lineage: Eukaryota; Metazoa; Chordata; Mammalia; Proboscidea; Elephantidae. The record is from RefSeq and is a predicted model, not a curated record. The transcript is spliced from 13 exons.
UUUGCUUCCUGGAUGAUCAGAACGCCUAGUUUUGGAGCCUUGAAAACCCUAUGAAUUGCAGUUCUACUCAGUCCACAUGCGGUUGCCAUGAGUUGGUAUCUACUCCACAGCAAUUAACAACAACCACAAAGGAGAGCCAGCAGAAAUCCACUAAUGUAGUCUAUCAGGCCCACCACGUGAGCAGGAACAAGAGAGGGCAGGUGGUUGGAACAACGGGAGGAUUCCGAGGAUGUACUGUCUGGCUAACAGGUCUCUCCGGUGCGGGAAAAACAACAAUAAGUUUUGCUCUGGAAGAGUACCUCGUCUCGCAUUCCAUCCCCUGCUACUCCCUGGAUGGGGACAACAUCCGUCACGGCCUGAACAAAAACCUUGGAUUCUCUGCUGGGGACAGAGAAGAAAAUAUCCGCCGGAUUGCCGAGGUGGCCAAGCUCUUUGCUGAUGCUGGUCUGGUCUGCAUCACCAGCUUCAUCUCUCCUUUCUCAAAGGAUCGUGAGAAUGCCCGCAAAAUCCACGAAUCAGCAGGACUGCCAUUCUUUGAAAUAUUCGUAGAUGCACCUCUAAACAUUUGUGAAAGCAGAGACGUAAAAGGCCUCUACAAACGGGCCCGAGCUGGGGAGAUUAAAGGGUUUACUGGUAUUGAUUCUGACUAUGAGAAACCUGAAACUCCAGAGCGUGUGCUUAAAACCAAUUUGUCCUCAGUGAGUGACUGUAUCCAGCAGGUGGUAGAACUUCUGCAGGAGCAGAACAUUGUACCCCACACUACAAUCAAAGGCAUCCAUGAACUCUUCGUGCCGGAAAACAAACUUGACCAAGUUCGAGCUGAGGCUGAGACUCUCCCUUCGUUAUCAAUUACUAAGCUGGAUCUCCAGUGGGUCCAAGUUUUGAGUGAAGGCUGGGCCACUCCCCUGAAGGGUUUUAUGCGGGAGAAGGAAUACUUGCAGGUUCUACACUUUGACACUCUGCUAGAUGAUGGAGUGAUCAACAUGAGCAUUCCCAUCGUACUGCCUGUCUCGGAGGAUGAUAAGAAACACCUGGAAGAGUGCAGCGAGUUUGCGCUGGUGUACUGUGGACGGAGGGUGGCUAUCUUAAAAGAUCCUGAAUUCUAUGAACAUAGAAAAGAGGAACGUUGCUCCCGUGUGUGGGGGACAACGUCUGAAAAACACCCGCAUAUCAAAAUGGUGAUGGAAAGCGGUGAUUGGCUGGUUGGUGGGGACCUUCAAGUGCUGGAGAGAAUAAGGUGGAAUGAUGGGCUGGACCAAUACCGCCUGACGCCUCUAGAGCUCAAACAGAAAUGUAAAGAAAUGAAUGCUGAUGCGGUGUUCGCAUUCCAGUUGCGCAAUCCUGUCCACAAUGGCCAUGCUCUGUUGAUGCAGGACACCCGCCGGCGGCUCCUGGAGAGGGGCUACAAGCACCCGGUCCUCCUGCUACACCCUCUGGGUGGCUGGACCAAGGAUGACGAUGUGCCCCUGGACUGGCGGAUGAAGCAGCAUGCAGCUGUGCUCGAAGAAGGGGUCCUAGAUCCCAAGUCAACCAUAGUUGCCAUCUUUCCAUCUCCCAUGUUAUAUGCUGGCCCCACUGAGGUCCAGUGGCACUGCAGGGCCCGGAUGAUUGCGGGAGCCAACUUCUACAUCGUGGGCCGGGACCCUGCAGGAAUGCCCCACCCUGAGAUAAAGAAGGACCUGUAUGAACCCACUCAUGGAGCCAAGGUCUUGAGCAUGGCCCCUGGCCUUACCUCUGUAGAAAUCAUUCCAUUCCGAGUGGCUGCCUACAACAAAGCCAAAAAAGCCAUGGACUUCUAUGAUCCAGCAAGAUUCUAAUGAAGUAACACUAUGCCUUCAGCAUAUAAAUAGAAACUAGUGGGAAAUGAGACUUUCCCAUGUUCAACAAUGAUCCAGAGAACAUUCAUAUUUUGCAUCAUAAAACUAAUUAGAGACUAAUCCUUUGUGCUUUCAUGAAUAAGAAACAGAAUGCUAAAAAUUCCCUUCACCCAUGACAAAUAUAAUUUGAAAAGACUUUCCGAAGACAUUGUUUUUGAAAGAAGAAAAGCAGAACACUAAAAUCAAGUUUAAAUUAGACAUGAUGAAUAAUGCCUUAAAAGUUUCAAUGUGAAAAGGUAAUAGACCCUGUGUAAAGUAGGGCUAGCUUAUGAGACAAAGAGCUUAAAUUUCAUCAUGUGUGUUCAUCGCCUGUAUGUAUGCGAUCAGCAUCAUCUACAUCUACACUAGACCACGUAUGUAUGUGGUUCGAAAGGUUAUAAUCUUCCAGGCAGGCAAUAUAAUAAACUUUAAAAAAGCUGUAUCAGUUAACAUGAGGUGUCUGCAAAACUGUCGACAACUGCCUUCUAAAAAAAAAAAAAAAAACUGCCUUCUAGUAGCUGUUAAAUUUCUAGUCACACCAUAAUCCUCCCAAUUCAAAUGGACUUGUAAAAUAAUUUCAUCCCCUUUCUCUUCUUCUCUGAACUUUAAUGCCUACCCUUGUUAACGGUUUACCAAUCGUUGUUGUUAGGUGCCGUCGAGUCGGUUCCAAUUCAUAGUGACGCCAUGCACAACAGAAUGAAACACUGCCUGGUCCUGUGCCAUCCUUACAACCGUUGAUUGCUUGAGUCCAUUGUUGCAGCCACUGUGUCAAUCCAUCUCGUUGAGGGCCUUCCUCUUUUUCACUGACUCUGUACUUUACCAAGCAUGAUGUCCUUCUCCAGGGACUGAGGCCUCCUGACAUGUCCAAAGUAUAUAAGACGCAGUCUCGCCAUCCUUGCUUCUAAGGAGCAUUCUGGUUCUACUUCUUCCAAGAUAGAUUUGUUCAUUCUUUUGGCAGUCCAUGGUAUAUUCAAUAUUCUUUGCCAACACCACAAUUCAAAGGUGUCAAUUCUUCAGUCUCCCUUAUUCACCAUCCAGCUUUCACAUGCAUAUGAUGCAACUGAGAAUACCAUGCUUGGAUCAGGUACACCUUAGUCUUCAAGGUGGUAUCUUUACUUUUCAACACUUUAAAGAGGUCCUUUGCAGCAGAUCUGCCCAAUGCAACGCAUCUUUUGAUUUCUUGACUGCUGCUUCUGGGGGUGUUGACUGCGGAUCCAAGUAAAAUGAAAUCCUUGACAAAUUCGAUCUUUUCUCCGUUUAUCAUGAUGUUGCUUAUCAGUCCAGUUGUGAGGAUUUCUGUUUUCUUUAUGUUGAAGUGUAAUCCAUACUGAACGCUGUCGUCUUUGAUCUUUAUCAUGAAAUGCUUCAACUCCUUUUCACUUUCCGCAAGCAAGACUGUGUCGUCUGCAUGACACAAGUUGUUAAUGAAUCUUCCUCCAAUCCUAAUGCCUGGUUCUUCAUACAGUCCAGCUUCUAGGAUUAUUUGCUCAGCAUACAGAUUGAAUAGGUAUGGUGAAAGGAUGCAACUCUGCCACAUACUUUUCCUGACUUUAAACCACUCAGAAGCCCCUUGUUCUGUCCAAGGUUUACCAAUUAAGUGUGUUUUAUCUAAAUUGCAUUACUACUACAUAAAGUCUUUUGAAGGCAGUUACUAAAUGUUUAAUUAAAAGGCAAAAAGUUAUUUGUUAAUUUCUCAUCUAGAACAGAAGUUCUUAACCUAGAAUCCACGGAAGUUUUAGAAAUUUUCCUGAAAUUGUACAAAAAAUUUCACAUGUAUAUGUUGUUUUCCUUGGGAAGACUAUAUAACUUUUAUCUGACACUCGGCCCUGUGAUCUCCCUCAAAUGGUUAAUAACCACUCAUCCAAUCUCUGUAAUUUGCUGGGUUCUUUAAACUUCUGCACAGAGCAUAUAUGUUCUUUUGAUACAUUUUUUAAAAAUAAAUCAUUAGAACACUAACGAAAGACACUAAGGAAGACAUGAACAAUCAGAAACAGCACAUAUUUUUGGGUAGAGAGAUUCAACAUCAAAAAUGUUUUAAUUCUCUUUAAGUUAAUUUAAAAACUGAACAUGACCCAAUGAAAAUAUUAAUGUUUGCUUUUUCCUGAAUAAGCCAAAUUGAUUCUAAAAUUUAUACAGAAAAAUGAAUAAAAAUAACUAGGGGAUGAGGGGGGGCACACAACAAGGGAUGUGUAACCCUAAACCCUUUGCCUUGGGUUGAUUCCGAUUCACAGCAACCCCACAGGACAGGGUAGAACUGACCCAUAAGGCUUCCAAGGCUGUAAUCUUUACAGAAGGCGGCUGCCACAUCUUUCUCCCAUAUCUAGCCCUACUAUAUUAAAACUUAAAAAGCCUCAGUAAUUAAAAUAGUGUAGAAAAACAAACAAAAAAACCCAAACCCACUACCAUCGAGUUGAUUCCAACUCACAGCAACCCUACAAGACAGAGUGGAACUGCCCCAUAGAGUUUCCAAGGAGCACAUGGUGGAUUUGAAUUGCUGACCUUCUGGUUAACAGUAGUCAUACUUAACCUCUAUGCCACCAGGGUUUCCAAAAUAGUGUAGAGAUGGUGUAAAAAGACAUAAGACGAGGCGGGGCCAAGAUGGCUGACUAGGUAGAAGCUACCUCGGAUCCCUCUUGCAACAAAGACUCAGAAAAACAAGUGAAUUGAUCACAUACAUGACAAACUACGAACCCUGACCAUCGAACACAGAUCUAAAGAGUUGACCUGAGUGACAGAGACUGAGAACAAGCAACUACGGGAAAGCAACGACUGUUUUCGGAGCCUGGAGCCAGCAUCCCAGUCAGAAAACCUUGGCGCCGGGCUUUGAACUGGGUGCAGGGGAGCUGAGCACGGCAUCCUGAAACAGCACUAACACAGGAUGCAGCCCUAGCCCCCAGAAGUGACCUCGGGGGAAGCCCAGCCAGUGCACGCAGGCAGCGCAGUGACGCAGCUGACAGGAGGGGAAGUCACCGGAGGCAGCGACUGGUUUCGGACCUUGGAGUAUGGUGUCCCAGCCAGGGAAGUCUGGUGCUGGGCUUUGGACUGGGAGCAGAGGAACUGACCACAGCUUCUGAGACAGCACAAGCACAGGACGCGGGCCUGACCCUCGGGGGCAAUCUUGACCCAGCCAAUGCACACAGGCUACACAUCCCUCAGGAAUCUCAGAUAAAAUAGUCAUCACCAAGCAAGCUUUCCCAUGCAUAUGAGGCGACUGAAAACACCAUGGCUUGGGCUGGGCACACCUCAGUCCUUAAAGUGACAUCUUUGCUUUUGCAGCAGAUUUGGCGACAGGCACAAAAAUUAUAAAAACCGUAUCCUUUGACCUAGGAAUUCCUUUUGUGGAAAAUUCAUUGUACUAAUAUUCCUGUGGCAGCCCUGAUGGUGCAGUAAUAAGAGCUAUGGCUGGGAACCAAAAGGUCAGCAGUUCAAUUCCACCAGGCGCUCCUUGGGAACCCUAUGGGGCUGUUCUACUUUGUCCUAUAGUGUCGCUAUGAGUUGGAAUCGACUCAAUGGCAAUGGGUUUUUUUUUUUUUUUUAAUAUUCCUGCAUAAGUGUGGAAUGAUAUAUUUACAAGGUUACUCAAUGCAGCAUUUUUUAUCAUAGGGAAAAGAUUAGAAUCAAACUGAAUGUCCUUCAAUAUGGCACUGAUUAAAUAAAUUAUAGUAUAUCCAUACAAUGGAAUCCUAUGCAGUUAAAAAAAAAGAUAAGGAAAUUAUAUGCUAAUAUAAAAGACCUCAAAGAUAAGUGAAAAAACCAACUCAGAGAACAGUGUGCAUAGUUUAUUCAUAUGGUUUAUGUAAAAAAAGGGGGAAGGGAAUAGAGGAUAUUCUAAUUAGUCUGUAUAGGUAUAACAGCAAUUUAAAAAGGUACAA